RNAcentral lists this ribosomal RNA (253 nucleotides) under uncultured bacterium. Its description in RNAcentral is "partial 16S ribosomal RNA". It matches the Rfam family "Bacterial small subunit ribosomal RNA", at positions 524 to 776 of the family's 1533-position model. The record is from RNAcentral.
UACGGAGGGUGCGAGCGUUGUCCGGAAUCACUGGGCGUAAAGGGCGCGUAGGUGGCGCGACAAGUCAACGGUGAAAGCUCGGCGCUCAACGCCGAGUCGGCCGUCGAUACUGUUGGGCUGGAGCACUGUAGAGGCAGAUGGAAUUCCGGGGUGUAGCGGUGGAAUGCGUAGAGAUCCGGAGGAAGACCGGUGGCGAAGGCGGUCUGCUGGGCAGUUUCUGACACUGAGGCGCGACACGUGGGGAGCAAACAGG